This 441-nucleotide long non-coding RNA is filed under the name Equus caballus (horse). RNAcentral's name for it is "lncRNA (ENSECAG00000044499.1)". Lineage: Eukaryota; Metazoa; Chordata; Mammalia; Perissodactyla; Equidae. The record is from RNAcentral.
CUUUCAGGUGCAGACAUGGGAUCCAGGAAAGGUUGGGCUCAUUCUUGAGGUAGCCAGGCUCCAAGCACCUGAAGUUCUUCUGAGUCAGAGAAGCAACUGCAUUCAUUACAGCUAAUGAAGUUUGCAAAAGGAGGUCAGAGGAGGGCUGUGCCAACAACUGUCCCCAGAGCUCAACAUCAUUUCAUCAUGCUGGUCCUUACCCACAGCUGAGAUCUGCUCAUCCGGCCUCGGCAAAAGACAAUGCAUUUGAGUUCGUGGAGAACAUUCUUGCUAUUGUAUAUUCGGUACAUAUCUACAUGGAUGCGGCCAUCGUCCAAACUCUAGUGAUUCUCACUGCUGGUUUUAAAAUCACUUGGAAGAAGACAUUUAGAAAACAUCAAAGUGGUCUGAUGGGAUCUUCUAAGAGCUGAACAUUGACUAUAUCCAUUAAAGUUACGUCUA